ACGGCUAUAAAUAUUUACUAAAUAUUUUUUACGCACCAGAUUAAAUCGUUUGGGUCCGAGUAGUACAACCCCUCUCGGACCCUAGACAACCCCUAGUUUUCAUUGGACGAAGACUACAAAGGAUAUCUUGAUCAAAACGAUGCUAGGUAAUCUAGGUAGUUUCAUAACUAGAAUCGUAUCUCUAGAAUGUUCCAUUGACCUAUAACACUAGCUAAUUUAUCUCAAAUUAAUAUUUAUUAUAUAUGUGAGGACUGUGCAAAAGUAGACUUGAUGAGGGUUUGGUAGUAUGCCAAUGUUUUUUUAAUAAAUCUGAUAUGGGAUGAUUGAAAAACUAAUGCAUAAAGUAAGCUGCCUCACAUGAGCUAAUUAAGCUAAAAAGGCUUGUGACGUGAAGCAUGGUUGUUCGAAUUGGACCAGCCCUGACGGUUCAAUCGAGUUGACCGCGAAAUGGGAGCACACCGAGCCGGUUGAAUGCCAAAACCCGGGAAAAUAAAAAAAAUGGGGCCAAUAUGCGGAAACCUGGUUCGACCGGCUAAAACCUCUAACCGAAAAUCGGUUGAAGACCCUGAUUGUUGUUCAUACAACGUUUGGUGGACAAAUCUCCGCGGUCAGUGCCGGCCCUGGGCAAAAUCUAGGGAAGCAACAGCUUUGGGUCCCACUUUUCUAGUAGGCCCCAUAAUUAAUUUUAGGGGUAAUUUUUAUAGACCUCCACUACUAGAUUCUAUAGGUAUUAACCUAAGUCAUAAGUCCAAUUUUGCUAAAACCCCUACAAUUAAUUAUGGCCAAUAUACCCUUAAAUAAAAUAGAAUUUUUUUAAUCUUAAAUCAAUAAAUAGCAAAUUUAUUUUCCCUGAACCCAUCUAGCAAAAAUAGGGUCGCAAUUAUCUUGAUCGUUGAAUCUCUCCUAGAAACGAAAAAAAUCUCUCCCUUUUUAUGCGAAACAAAUACUGUAAUCCUAGAAAAAAUUGUGAAAUUGAUUUUUCUAAUCGUUGUUCUCGUAGAUGUAAAUCUCAAAAAAAAAAAAAAAAAAAAAAAAAAAACCCAGAGAGAAUGAUUAAAGAUGGAAAAAGUACAGGUGAUUUGCUCUUCUAUAUCUGUCCUUUUAUGUUUUUAAUGGCGAUUUAUUCACGAAUUGUCAUGAAAAUUUUGAUCAAUGGAUCGAAAGAUGUUGAUAUUGAUUAUUCGACCCCAGUUACCAUAUCUGUUUUUAUGUGAAAAUCAAUGGUUUCUUGCUUUUGAUUUUGCUGUUUUUUGUUACAUAAUUUUUUGAUGUCGAUUGCAACAUGUUAUCGGUUUUUACCCAUCAUAACAGCAAAGUGCAAAAUAAACAAGAACAUGUUAUUGGUUUCUUGCUUUUGAUUUUGCUGUUUUUUUCUUUUGUAUUUAGCCAUUUCAUAAUGUAUUGCAUAUUGCGAGUAAUUGUACUUUUUGCAUCUCGUUGUUGCAACUUCGAACAUUGUAUUUCUCUAUAGAGAUUCUAUGUUGCGUUUUGAUAUUGUAAUAUGCAUUGAUGCAAAUUUGUGCAAAUUUUAAUUGGAAGCUUUUUUGGUUGAAUUCGUAUUUUACUGUCGCUGCAGCUAUAAGCCAGAAGAAAACAAACAAGAGAUUCAUUAGAGGUUGAUGCUACUGACACGAUCAUGUUUCUAGAAGAUCCCCAAUGACGUUUGGAAGUUGUGAAUUCAGUCGGACGUCGAGACUAUGUCCGUUAUGACAUCACCCAUCCAUAAUCAAUUAUGAUAGAUUGUAGUUUGUUUAUUGACUAUAUUGCAACACUGCUUGUAUCUAUUUAUUUGUAUUUUACAAUAUUUUGUAUUUAAUGUACUGAUUUAUUCCUAAAUAAAAAUUGUUUGGUGGUUUGUUAUAUCAUCUUUUAUUUCAUAUUUAUAUUUUAAAGAUAUUUUAUAUUGUUCGAGGAAGAAUAAACUUGAACAUCUGAUGUUUGAGCAAAUUAUCAUUAGUUUCAUAUCGUGUUGUUGUGAAAAUACAUUUGUAAAAUAUUAUUUUUGACAUAUGGUAGGUGAUUCCGUAUUAUAUUUAUUUUGCUAUUUAUUUUUGCUGUUAUAAAUUGCAGUUUGUAUGUUGCUAAUUGUAUUUUGCAAUUUGUUGUUGUAACUUGACACAACUU
Non-coding RNA from Erythranthe guttata (spotted monkey flower), 2124 nucleotides. The record is from RefSeq and is a predicted model, not a curated record. NCBI's taxonomy places the organism in Eukaryota, Viridiplantae, Streptophyta, Magnoliopsida, Lamiales, Phrymaceae.